This 2900-nucleotide ribosomal RNA is filed under the name Klebsiella pneumoniae. Its description in RNAcentral is "bacterial LSU rRNA". It matches the Rfam family "Bacterial large subunit ribosomal RNA". Lineage: Bacteria; Pseudomonadati; Pseudomonadota; Gammaproteobacteria; Enterobacterales; Enterobacteriaceae. The record is from RNAcentral.
UUAAGCGACUAAGCGUACACGGUGGAUGCCCUGGCAGUCAGAGGCGAUGAAGGACGUGCUAAUCUGCGAAAAGCGUCGGUAAGGUGAUAUGAACCGUUACAGCCGGCGAUGUCCGAAUGGGGAAACCCAGUGCAAUUCGUUGCACUAUCGUUAACUGAAUACAUAGGUUAACGAGGCGAACCGGGGGAACUGAAACAUCUAAGUACCCCGAGGAAAAGAAAUCAACCGAGAUUCCCCCAGUAGCGGCGAGCGAACGGGGAGCAGCCCAGAGUCUGAAUCAGCUUGUGUGUUAGUGGAACGGUCUGGAAAGUCCGACGGUACAGGGUGAUAGUCCCGUACACCAAAAUGCACAGGCUGUGAACUCGAAGAGUAGGGCGGGACACGUGGUAUCCUGUCUGAAUAUGGGGGGACCAUCCUCCAAGGCUAAAUACUCCUGACUGACCGAUAGUGAACCAGUACCGUGAGGGAAAGGCGAAAAGAACCCCGGCGAGGGGAGUGAAAAAGAACCUGAAACCGUGUACGUACAAGCAGUGGGAGCACCUUCGGGUGUGACUGCGUACCUUUUGUAUAAUGGGUCAGCGACUUAUAUUCUGUAGCAAGGUUAACCGUAUAGGGGAGCCGCAGGGAAACCGAGUCUUAACUGGGCGUUAAGUUGCAGGGUAUAGACCCGAAACCCGGUGAUCUAGCCAUGGGCAGGUUGAAGGUUGGGUAACACUAACUGGAGGACCGAACCGACUAAUGUUGAAAAAUUAGCGGAUGACUUGUGGCUGGGGGUGAAAGGCCAAUCAAACCGGGAGAUAGCUGGUUCUCCCCGAAAGCUAUUUAGGUAGCGCCUCGUGAACUCAUCUUCGGGGGUAGAGCACUGUUUCGGCUAGGGGGUCAUCCCGACUUACCAACCCGAUGCAAACUACGAAUACCGAAGAAUGUUAUCACGGGAGACACACGGCGGGUGCUAACGUCCGUCGUGAAGAGGGAAACAACCCAGACCGCCAGCUAAGGUCCCAAAGUCAUGGUUAAGUGGGAAACGAUGUGGGAAGGCACAGACAGCCAGGAUGUUGGCUUAGAAGCAGCCAUCAUUUAAAGAAAGCGUAAUAGCUCACUGGUCGAGUCGGCCUGCGCGGAAGAUGUAACGGGGCUAAACCAUGCACCGAAGCUGCGGCAGCGACACUAUGUGUUGUUGGGUAGGGGAGCGUUCUGUAAGCCUGCGAAGGUGACCUGUGAGGGUUGCUGGAGGUAUCAGAAGUGCGAAUGCUGACAUAAGUAACGAUAAAGCGGGUGAAAAGCCCGCUCGCCGGAAGACCAAGGGUUCCUGUCCAACGUUAAUCGGGGCAGGGUGAGUCGACCCCUAAGGCGAGGCCGAAAGGCGUAGUCGAUGGGAAACAGGUUAAUAUUCCUGUACUUGGUGUUACUGCGAAGGGGGGACGGAGAAGGCUAUGUUAGCCGGGCGACGGUUGUCCCGGUUUAAGCAUGUAGGCUGGUUAUCCAGGCAAAUCCGGAUAAUCAAGGCUGAGGUGUGAUGACGAGGCACUACGGUGCUGAAGUAACAAAUGCCCUGCUUCCAGGAAAAGCCUCUAAGCAUCAGGUAACAUUAAAUCGUACCCCAAACCGACACAGGUGGUCAGGUAGAGAAUACCAAGGCGCUUGAGAGAACUCGGGUGAAGGAACUAGGCAAAAUGGUGCCGUAACUUCGGGAGAAGGCACGCUGGUGUGUAGGUGAAGUCCCUGCGGAUGGAGCUGAGACCAGUCGAAGAUACCAGCUGGCUGCAACUGUUUAUUAAAAACACAGCACUGUGCAAACACGAAAGUGGACGUAUACGGUGUGACGCCUGCCCGGUGCCGGAAGGUUAAUUGAUGGGGUUAUCCGUAAGGAGAAGCUCUUGAUCGAAGCCCCGGUAAACGGCGGCCGUAACUAUAACGGUCCUAAGGUAGCGAAAUUCCUUGUCGGGUAAGUUCCGACCUGCACGAAUGGCGUAAUGAUGGCCAGGCUGUCUCCACCCGAGACUCAGUGAAAUUGAACUCGCUGUGAAGAUGCAGUGUACCCGCGGCAAGACGGAAAGACCCCGUGAACCUUUACUAUAGCUUGACACUGAACAUUGAGCCUUGAUGUGUAGGAUAGGUGGGAGGCUUUGAAGCGUGGACGCCAGUCUGCGUGGAGCCAACCUUGAAAUACCACCCUUUAAUGUUUGAUGUUCUAACGUUGGCCCCUGACCGGGGUUGCGGACAGUGUCUGGUGGGUAGUUUGACUGGGGCGGUCUCCUCCCAAAGCGUAACGGAGGAGCACGAAGGUUAGCUAAUCCUGGUCGGACAUCAGGAGGUUAGUGCAAUGGCAUAAGCUAGCUUGACUGCGAGCGUGACGGCGCGAGCAGGUGCGAAAGCAGGUCAUAGUGAUCCGGUGGUUCUGAAUGGAAGGGCCAUCGCUCAACGGAUAAAAGGUACUCCGGGGAUAACAGGCUGAUACCGCCCAAGAGUUCAUAUCGACGGCGGUGUUUGGCACCUCGAUGUCGGCUCAUCACAUCCUGGGGCUGAAGUAGGUCCCAAGGGUAUGGCUGUUCGCCAUUUAAAGUGGUACGCGAGCUGGGUUUAGAACGUCGUGAGACAGUUCGGUCCCUAUCUGCCGUGGGCGCUGGAGAAUUGAGGGGGGCUGCUCCUAGUACGAGAGGACCGGAGUGGACGCAUCACUGGUGUUCGGGUUGUCAUGCCAAUGGCACUGCCCGGUAGCUAAAUGCGGAAGAGAUAAGUGCUGAAAGCAUCUAAGCACGAAACUUGCCCCGAGAUGAGUUCUCCCUGAGACUUUAAGUCUCCUGAAGGAACGUUAAAGACGAUGACGUUGAUAGGCCGGGUGUGUAAGCGCAGCGAUGCGUUGAGCUAACCGGUACUAAUGAACCGUGAGGCUUAACCUU